AGCUCCAAUAGCGUAUAUUAAAGUUGUUGCAGUUAAAAAGCUCGUAGUUGGAUUUCUGGUAGGAGCGACCGUGCCGAACUUGAUUGUUCGAGUAUUGUGUUGUCUUCAGCCAUCCUCGUGGAGAACUUUUCUAACAUUAACUUGUUGGGAUUGGGACCCGCGUCGUUUACUGUGAAAAAAUUAGAGUGUUUAAAGCAGGCAUUAGCUUGAAUACAUUAGCAUGGAAUAAUAAGAUAGGACUUUGGUACUAUUUUGUUGGUUUGCAUACCAAAUUAAUGAUCAACAGGAACAGUUUGAGGAUAUUCGUAUGAACAUGUCAGAGGUGAAAUUCUUGGAUUUUGAUCAGACGAACUACUGCGAAAGCAUUUAUCAAGGAUGUUUUCAUUAAUCAAGAACGAAA
Molecule: ribosomal RNA, 400 nt
Filed under: phytoplankton environmental sample
Lineage: Eukaryota
Description: partial small subunit ribosomal RNA
Rfam family: Eukaryotic small subunit ribosomal RNA
Source: RNAcentral